UUCAGCCAGUGGCUGCUCACCCACUACAGCUAUCGACCUACUGUGGCGACCUAUCACGGCAUCCUCCCUAGCCGGAAGAAGGGGAUAGAGAGAGAAGAGAGAUAGGAGAGCUAACAUGCAGGCCCAAAGGCAUUUCAAAACUUUCACGUGAUUUCUCUCUCCUCUCCAACCACAAAUUAUUAUUUUAAAGCGUGCGGUGUCCACCGGUAAAUAUCAAACUUUAAAGAGUGUAUUUCCCCAAAAGUCACUUUAUGCAGUGUCCUGCAGCUAAAACCACAAAGUCAUAAUGUCCUUUAUCCAACUAUAAUGAAAAUGUUCGGAUGAUAAAUUACCUUAAGAAAAAAAAAGUACGAAUUAUCCCCCUGAACUAUUUAGGUCGUCUGAAUUACCCCCUUAGACUUUAAAACUAGACAUUUGACACCCUCAACUACUAAAACUAGACAAAUAACCCCCCUAACCCAAUCUGGAGUGGUUUUGAUCCUACGUGGCAUACGCGUGACAGUCCAGUCAGCAAUUCUUUAAAAAAGUUCGGUGGGCCCACUUGUCAUAUCUAUCCCUCACCUCUAUCCUCUUGUCUUUCUCAAUCCGUAUCCCUCUCUAUCUCUUCUCUUGAAUUCCUCUCCUCGCUAAAGCAUGCGACAGCGGCCGACCGUCGAGCUUGCCGGCCGGGCUUUCUCCUCCUCGGCACAACAAGCACACCACCAAGUCGCCACUCUCGAAGGCAGUUGCCGGAGACCGUCGUUGUUGAGGAGCCACGGUGAGGAGCUCGAUCCCCUUAUCACGCUCGCGAAUUGAGGAGAAGGUGUCGUGGCGGUUGCCGGUCGAGAGCUCGAAGGCGCCACGGCCUCGUCGUCGUCUCCACCUCCAUCUUGAUCUGCCUCCUUCGACGCUGCUAGGAAGUUGCAGAGCUCAUGCUCGAGGAGGCGGCCACCGACGUGGAUCUCCUUCUCGGCCACAUGCGUGGAUCUCCUCCUCGGCCACCGGCGCGGAUCUCCUCCUCGGCCACAGGCACCGAUUGAACUCCACCGCCGGCUCCCUGAGGGGACCAGCCUCCGUCGCCAUGUGCCUCCUAUGCGGCUGACGGACGCCACUUCCGGUCAACACGCCUUGGCCCUAUCUCUUCUGCCCUCUCUCUCUCUCUCUCCCCGCGCGCCGCCGUCCACCCGCCGCCGCCCACCGCCCGUUCGCAGCCACUUGCUCGAGCGCGUUCACGGGAGAGAGAGAGAGCGAGCGAGCGACCGGGUAGGAAGAGACAUGACAUGUGGGCCCAUGGAUUCUUUUUGCUGAUUGAAUUGCCACGUUAGUGCCAUGCGUGCAAGAUCAAGUCAAAACUGCUCAAAACAGUGUCGAGGGGGUAAUUCGUCCAGUAUUGAAAGUUUAGGGUAAGCAAUGUCUGGUUUUUGGGUUAGGAGGGUAAUAUGGUCGACCGUAAUAAUUAAGGAGGGUAAUUCGUACUUUUUUCAA
Long non-coding RNA from Oryza sativa Japonica Group (Japanese rice), 1464 nucleotides. RefSeq lists it as uncharacterized. Lineage: Eukaryota; Viridiplantae; Streptophyta; Magnoliopsida; Poales; Poaceae. The record is from RefSeq and is a predicted model, not a curated record.